This 833-nucleotide long non-coding RNA is filed under the name Equus asinus (donkey). RNAcentral describes it as "lncRNA (ENSEASG00005026296.1)". Lineage: Eukaryota; Metazoa; Chordata; Mammalia; Perissodactyla; Equidae. The record is from RNAcentral.
CAUCUUCUCGGGCGGUAUCUGACGUGUUUACUCCGGUGUUUAGCGGCUUGUGUGGUCGGCGGUCCGGCAGGGUGGCAGCGGCGGCGUCGCGGGGACCCAGCCCGGAUCUGGAGAGUCCCCUGUAUUCAGGGAGUCACCUUCAGGGCUUCCUCACAUUUUGAGAACUUGCACACAGCACUUCCCCAACACCCGGACGGUCCCCGCAGCCCUCAGCGAGCAGAAACUACCUUCUAGGCUCACAAGACGAUUUGCUGUGGAGUGAUCUUCAUCUGGGAAACAGACUGACUUAGACUGUCACCAGGAGAGCUCCAUACCACAAAGCUUGGGCCAUUUCAUUCACAACUGGGGAUUGUCUUUUUUUUUUUUAAUUGAGUUCAUAACAGUUCACAUCAAUGUGAAAUUUCACUUGUACAUUAUUUCUUGUCUGUCACGACAUAGGUGCUUCCCUUUCACCCCCUGUGCCCACCCCCACCCCCUUCCCCUGGUACCACUGAACUGUUUCCUUUGUCCAUGUGCUUGUUUAUAUUCCACACAUGAGUGAAAUCAUCUGGUGUUUGUCUUUCUCAGACUGGCUUAUUUUGCUUAGCAUAAUUCCCUCCAGGUCCUCCCCGUGUUGUUGCAAAUGGGAUGAUUUUUGUCUUUUUUCUGGCUGAGUAGUAUUCCAUUAUAUAUAUAUACACACACCACAGCUUCUUUAUCCAAUCAUCAGCCAAUGGGCACUUGGGUUGUUUCCAUGUCUUGGCUAUUGUGAAUAGCACUGCAAUGAACGUAGCGCUGCAUAUGUUACUUUGGAUUGUUGAUUUCAAAUUGCCCAGCUGGGAAUUUUUAUAAGC